Molecule: long non-coding RNA, 1471 nt
Organism: Cyprinus carpio carpio
Lineage: Eukaryota; Metazoa; Chordata; Actinopteri; Cypriniformes; Cyprinidae
Source: Ensembl
CUCUCGAGCACUCCUCUCUGAGACACAUAAUGCAAAGGUAAUGUGUGUCCUCAGGUGUCAAAUAUCAAUGGCUCCUGAAGACAAAAAAGCUGAUGUCGUGCAUUACAGGUGCCCCUUUAUACUCCAGGCACUUUGCUAAUGACAUCACAGGGUGCGUGUUCACACAUGCUUCAGACACCGGUCAUGCUGAUGGCAUUCCUCAAAGUGUCCCCUAGGGGUGCAGUGUUGAGUUUCUUAGAAGGGGAACAAUUAACAUUUUUUUUUAUUUCUUUGCACUUUUCUAGUCAUUUUCCCAUAACAAAAUAAAUGAAAAAUUAAUUUUCUAGUUUCUGCAUGUUCUAAUGGGUGAUAUUGUUUCAAAUCAUGAAACAGGUUUGUGUUGCCUGACUUUGAUGACGAUUAUCUUCAUUACAGUUUGCAGUGCAGGCUGCAAUAUCAAUAUUUUUUUUUCUCUUAGAAAUGAUCUGGACUCUUUUGCUUCCAUGUUCUGUAUCUGUAUUUUUAAGACAGAAGAAGACAUGAGCUAACCAACAGUCAACCAUGUCUGUGUCACCUGGAAGAGCAUCAUAGAAGGUUCUGUUUAGAUGGUGUUUCAUCAAAAGAGCUCACAACAGAGGAGAACCUUGUUUCACACUGAGUGCAAAUUGGCUUAGUUAUGAGGAAAUGGAAGAAAAUUACAUUUUUAAAUUACGUUGACAUCACUUAAGGCUUACCGUGGACGACUGAAUAAGGUGACGUCAUCACAGCGUCUUGAGCAGAACCACUUUAUGAGCAAACGUGGAAAGAAGCUAACAAAUAUAUCUACAAAGUAUGAUAAUUCUUCAUUUUGCUGUAAAAUUAAGGUUUAAUCCUCAUUGUUCAAGCUUAGUGAUUCUUUUGUUGUUUUGAAUAUCAGAAAAUGACAUCACUGUUUUAGUAUGCAUGCAUGUCAGAGAAUGUGUUUGAGAAUUGAGUGGCAUGAUUUUAAAUGUAAGAUGAGAUUCUGUGUGUUGCGCUAAAGGAAGGUACAGUUCCCUCUCUCCUGGCAGAGGGUGUGAAACAAAUGCACGCGGGGGAUGCAUGAGGUGGUAUGUGGCAGACUGCUGGUCUCUUAGCAACAGCACAUGUACAUGAGAGAUGAGAGAUGAAUUCUCUCUUCAAAGUAAUAUAUCUUACAGUCAUUGAUGUGAUGAUAUCACCUUUAAAAAGAGAUAUAAUGCUGGUAAGUAAAAGAGGGAUUUCCUUGUCUAAACUCAGAUCACUCACAAGUGCUAAACGGCUGUCCUAACCUAACCCCAAUAUUAUGAACAGCAACUGUGAAAUUUUAAUCAAAGCAAAAGAUACUCCAUGUUUGAGUGAUAUUGUGACGCAGAAGGUUCUUGAUCCCUGUGUAAUGACAUUGUAAAAAAGGAUAUUUCACACAAAAGUAAAAAUCCUGUCAACAUUUAAUUGCCUUCAUGUCAUUGAAAACCUGUGUUAUUUUCUGUGGAAC